GUAGGGUGCGAGCGUUAAUCGGAAUUACUGGGCGUAAAGCGUGCGCAGGCGGUUUGCUAAGACAGGUGUGAAAUCCCCGGGCUUAACCUGGGAACUGCGCUUGUGACUGGCAGGCUAGAGUACGGCAGAGGGGGGUGGAAUUCCUGGUGUAGCAGUGAAAUGCGUAGAGAUCAGGAGGAACACCGAUGGCGAAGGCAGCCCCCUGGGCCUGUACUGACGCUCAUGCACGAAAGCGUGGGGAGCAAAC
This 247-nucleotide ribosomal RNA is filed under the name uncultured Thauera sp. RNAcentral describes it as "partial 16S ribosomal RNA". It matches the Rfam family "Bacterial small subunit ribosomal RNA", at positions 527 to 773 of the family's 1533-position model. Lineage: Bacteria; Pseudomonadati; Pseudomonadota; Betaproteobacteria; Rhodocyclales; Zoogloeaceae. The record is from RNAcentral.